RNAcentral lists this transfer RNA (77 nucleotides) under Citrobacter freundii. RNAcentral describes it as "tRNA-Val". It matches the Rfam family "tRNA". From Rfam's summary of the family: Transfer RNA (tRNA) molecules are approximately 80 nucleotides in length. Their secondary structure includes four short double-helical elements and three loops (D, anti-codon, and T loops). RNAcentral also lists the same sequence under 4 other names. Lineage: Bacteria; Pseudomonadati; Pseudomonadota; Gammaproteobacteria; Enterobacterales; Enterobacteriaceae. The record is from RNAcentral.
GCGUUCAUAGCUCAGUUGGUUAGAGCACCACCUUGACAUGGUGGGGGUCGUUGGUUCGAGUCCAAUUGAAUGCACCA